GGGCUCGUGGUCUAGUUGGUUCAAGACGCCGCCCUUACACGGCGGAGGUCGCCGGUUCGAAUCCGGCCGUGCCCA
Molecule: transfer RNA, 75 nt
Filed under: Methanoregulaceae archaeon
Lineage: Archaea; Methanobacteriati; Methanobacteriota; Methanomicrobia; Methanomicrobiales; Methanoregulaceae
Description: tRNA-Val
Rfam family: tRNA
About the family: Transfer RNA (tRNA) molecules are approximately 80 nucleotides in length.
Source: RNAcentral